Molecule: ribosomal RNA, 298 nt
Filed under: uncultured Veillonellaceae bacterium
Lineage: Bacteria; Bacillati; Bacillota; Negativicutes; Veillonellales; Veillonellaceae
Description: partial 16S ribosomal RNA
Source: RNAcentral
GGAGUUUGGACCGUGUCUCAGUUCCAAUGUGGGGGACCUUCCUCUCAGAACCCCUACUGAUCGUCGACUUGGUGAGCCGUUACCUCACCAACUAUCUAAUCAGACGCAGGCUCCUCGCAAAGCGAUAAAUCUUUAGUAAGUUACUCAUGCGAAUUACUUACAACAUUCGGUAUUAGCAGUCCUUUCGAACUGUUGUCCCCAUCUUUGCGGCAGAUUACCUACGCGUUACUCACCCGUUUGCCACUAAACUAAAAGUUCCGUUCGACUUGCAUGUGUUAAGCACGCCGCCAGCGUUGUC